Molecule: ribosomal RNA, 253 nt
Filed under: uncultured bacterium
Lineage: Bacteria
Description: partial 16S ribosomal RNA
Rfam family: Bacterial small subunit ribosomal RNA
Source: RNAcentral
UACGAAGGGGGCUAGCGUUGUUCGGAAUUACUGGGCGUAAAGCGCACGUAGGCGGGUCGUUAAGUCAGUGGUGAAAUCCCAGAGCUCAACUCUGGAACUGCCUUUGAUACUGGCGACCUAGAGUUCGGAAGAGGUUAGUGGAAUUCCCAGUGUAGAGGUGAAAUUCGUAGAUAUUGGGAAGAACACCAGUGGCGAAGGCGGCUAACUGGUCCGAUACUGACGCUGAGGUGCGAAAGCGUGGGGAGCAAACAGG